UGGGGAAUUUUGGACAAUGGGGGAAACCCUGAUCCAGCCAUCCCGCGUGUGCGAUGAAGGCCUUCGGGUUGUAAAGCACUUUUGGCAGGAAAGAAACGUCAUGGGUUAAUACCCCGUGAAACUGACGGUACCUGCAGAAUAAGCACCGGCUAACUACGUGCCAGCAGCCGCGGUAAUACGUAGGGUGCAAGCGUUAAUCGGAAUUACUGGGCGUAAAGCGUGCGCAGGCGGUUCGGAAAGAAAGAUGUGAAAUCCCAGAGCUCAACUUUGGAACUGCAUUUUUAACUACCGGGCUAGAGUGUGGCAGAGGGAGGUGGAAUUCCGCGUGUAGCAGUGAAAUGCGUAGAUAUGCGGAGGAACACCGAUGGCGAAGGCAGCCUCCUGGGAUAACACUGACGCGCAUGCACGAAAGCGUGGGGAGCAAACAGG
RNAcentral lists this ribosomal RNA (429 nucleotides) under Acidobacteriota bacterium. RNAcentral describes it as "Acidobacteria bacterium partial 16S ribosomal RNA". It matches the Rfam family "Bacterial small subunit ribosomal RNA", at positions 355 to 776 of the family's 1533-position model. Lineage: Bacteria; Pseudomonadati; Acidobacteriota. The record is from RNAcentral.